RNAcentral lists this ribosomal RNA (563 nucleotides) under uncultured Vagococcus sp. Its description in RNAcentral is "bacterial SSU rRNA". It matches the Rfam family "Bacterial small subunit ribosomal RNA", at positions 1 to 566 of the family's 1533-position model. Lineage: Bacteria; Bacillati; Bacillota; Bacilli; Lactobacillales; Enterococcaceae. The record is from RNAcentral.
CGCCCUUAGAGUUUGAUCAUGGCUCAGGACGAACGCUGGCGGCGUGCCUAAUACAUGCAAGUCGAACGCAGCUUGCUUUGGUAAGAUGAGUGGCGAACGGGUGAGUAACACGUGGGUAACCUGCCUAUCAGAGGGGGAUAACACUUGGAAACAGGUGCUAAUACCGCAUAGAUUUCUUUCGCAUGAAAAGAGAGGAAAGACGUACGUGUCACUGAUAGAUGGACCCGCGGUGCAUUAGCUAGUUGGUGAGGUAACGGCUCACCAAGGCCAUGAUGCAUAGCCGACCUGAGAGGGUGAUCGGCCACACUGGGACUGAGACACGGCCCAGACUCCUACGGGAGGCAGCAGUAGGGAAUCUUCGGCAAUGGACGAAAGUCUGACCGAGCAACGCCGCGCGAGUGAAGAAGGUUUUCGGAUCGUAAAACUCUGUUGUUAGAGAAGAAUAGGUAGGGAUGACUUCCUGCCAUGACGGUAUCUAACCAGAAAGCCACGGCUAACUACGUGCCAGCAGCCGCGGUAAUACGUAGGUGGCAAGCGUUGUCCGGAUUUAUUGGGCUUAAAGC